CCUACGGGAGGCAGCAGUGGGGAAUAUUGCACAAUGGGCGCAAGCCUGAUGCAGCCAUGCCGCGUGUGUGAAGAAGGCCUUCGGGUUGUAAAGCACUUUCAGCGGGGAGGAAGGCGGUGAGGUUAAUAACCUCAUCGAUUGACGUUACCCGCAGAAGAAGCACCGGCUAACUCCGUGCCAGCAGCCGCGGUAAUACGGAGGGUGCAAGCGUUAAUCGAAAUUACUGGGCGUAAAGCGCACGCAGGCGGUCUGUCAAGUCGGAUGUGAAAUCCCCGGGCUCAACCUGGGAACUGCAUUCGAAACUGGCAGGCUAGAGUCUUGUAGAGGGGGGUAGAAUUCCAGGUGUAGCGGUGAAAUGCGUAGAGAUCUGGAGGAAUACCGGUGGCGAAGGCGGCCCCCUGGACAAAGACUGACGCUCAGGUGCGAAAGCGUGGGGAGCAAACAGGAUUAGAUACCCGAGUAGUC
Molecule: ribosomal RNA, 465 nt
Filed under: uncultured Klebsiella sp.
Lineage: Bacteria; Pseudomonadati; Pseudomonadota; Gammaproteobacteria; Enterobacterales; Enterobacteriaceae
Description: bacterial SSU rRNA
Rfam family: Bacterial small subunit ribosomal RNA
Source: RNAcentral